CACGCCCCCCCGGCAGCCGCCGCCACCGGCCGCCCGCAGGCCCGGGCAGGGCCGCGCUCACCGGAGGUGCUGAGCAGCAGAAAGAGGAGUCGGGCGAAGGCGCGGCGCGACCCCAUGCUGACGGGACAAGAUUAUGCCAGAACCAAUUAGCCCUUUGCAGGUGGCGGCGGAAGGGUUUGGUACCAUUUCACAUGGGAAAGCCGGAAAGAGGAAGAGAUUAACGCCCGCCAGAGAGGUCACAGAUUCACUUGGCAGGGGAGGAUGAACCACAGGGACCUUCUUGGGACCGUGCCAGCAGCUGUGAGAGUUACAUCUAUCUGUGCAUGAGCAGCCCCAAUUUGUAGGCUGGGGAUUUGCACACCGUAAUGAAGCCCCUGCUGUGCCCAGCACAGUGCGAUACCUGCAGCGCUUCAGCUGCGUGUGCUGAGGAGGGAUGGCUCCGGCCGGCUCUGCUCUGCUGGCUCUGAAGAAUGACUUCUCUGAAGGGUGUGAAAGCCGUGGCUCGCUGUGCUCGAGCAGAUGGCGGUGUUUCUGAGCUGGCGGGUUUCUGGAGGAGGUGGUGGUAGGAAACCAAACCAUUAAACGCUGCCGCAGCAAACUGCUGAGUCAAGACUGGGGCAAUCACGUGAAACGCCAAAAAAAGCCGCGGUGGUGGGGCGGUGCGGGGCGCGGAGCCCGUUGCUGCAGCCACAGGGGGCUUCCUGCAGCAGCGCGCUGGAACACGGUGUUGCGACACAGCUGGAACAACGCAACCCCAGCUGAGCGGGAAGCAGCCAAGGCACAGGCGGCGGUAGUUCGUCGCAAGCCUGUUACACAAGCACAGCUCGCGUACGUGCCGCUUGGUUUGAUCACACGCGGGUGCUUGGGGAGGUGGCAGCGGGGCAGGAGCUGGUACAGCCCGCGCUGCUUCGCUGACCCACACGGGGACAGCACCCGCGGCGCUGCAAGGUGCAGGGUUGGGGUACCCUGCUGCGCUCAGCAGCAUUUCCAGCUGCUGCUGGGUGCGACGUGUACCAGAGCACUCAGCAGCUGGGUUACCAUGUGGCAGCUGAUGAGAUUUAUGCGUUUUGUGAGUCAUGACAAACUACUUCUAGGUGUAGAUCUGUUAAAUGUGGGGGAAAAAAAUCGUUUGACUGACAGCUCAGCAUGUUCUUUGGGCUUGUAACAGCAAAGUAGAAAAAUGUCAGUUUUGUGAGUCUAUCAACAUACAUUGCUAACUUGCUGGAGAUACAUCUGUCAGCUUCAAAGCAGAAAUCGUGUUGUGAGAAUGGCUUUGCUCACGAGGCACCUCCCACUUCAACUCUUAUGAAAGAGGUGUUGGCUGUAACUUUUUUUGAGAAAUCUCAGCAGGAAAGGAAGUUCUAUCUAAAACACAGGGCUGGGAGACUGUCUUAUAUACUAAUUUUAAUAUCUGGAUAUUUUAACUGCAGGACUUCAGUGCCGUGACCUAGAAUAACAUUACAUCCCUUUUACAGAGAGCAUAUGAGAUAACAAUGUAUGUAAUUAGUCUACAGUUUCCAGCUCUGACAGAGGUAGAAAACCAGGUCUGGCAAACCCUGAGUUAAUGCCUGUUCACUGCGUUGUCCUGAGCAAAAAAACUCUUCCGGGGAAUGAUCUCACUCCAGUUUGAGGUUGCCUGUCUGCUUUUGGAGCUCGGAUUUGAAGCAGCAGUGUUGCUGUAGGCAUAACAAUGGAGAAACUGAAGGGAUACUGUUACGGAUUAAGCCCAGCUUGCUAAUAAGUGUUCUCAGACUGAAGCCAAAAUACAGCUCUGUACUAGUUACUAGGAAGAAAAUUAUCUCUAUGCCAGCUGAAACUAGGACAGAUGCGCAGGAUCGCAGCCCUUUGGUUGCAGAACCAGUUCUCCAGAGAAUGGAGCCUGACCUACCCCUGGCCACAGCCUACAAGCUUUACCUGCACAGUGACAAGAUUCCAGCUCAGCGGCUGUAAUCUGUUCCCAUCUCAUGCCUGAAAGCUGUACCUCCUCCCCAGCACACGCCUGGCACAACUCAGUCUGCACUGUGUCUUGCCCAGCUUUUAGUCAUAAGUAGCAGAGCAGCCUUGCUUUGAGCCUCAAACUAGCACCAGCUGAAGGAUUUUCUUGAUACAUUUAAGGGACUGCUUUUGGGAAAGGGAUGUUUUUGACCAUAGUAACAAAUUGUUCUCAGAUACACUUCAAGUUUCGCAGACUACACAAUGGUAAAAGGGAACAUGCAUUGUGGUAAUUCCAUAUGAGGUUUGGUCUGGGAGGGGAAGAGAGCUAACUAUUAAGUGAACGUUGUACUAAUCCAGCACUGAUGUUUCGUGCUGUAUCAUAACUACUUACCACUCCACAUGGUACAAAGAAAUCCAUUUCAUGUAAUCUUGGAUGCAGUUUACUUGCAUACUCAUCCCCCUCUGUUUGCAAAGUGAUAGUGACUAAGCUUUGCAAAGAAGCAUUACAACUCUUGAGGCCUGCGAUGGCCAGGGCAUUAUCAGAGAGUCUGAUCCUGACCCUCUGCCUGCUCUAAUUGCAUAAAGCAACUAAUGUUGUAUCUGCUGGAAAAGCAGUUACUGCAACUUCCUUCUUACUGAAAAUACCAUUAGAUGAAGCAGAACCUCUAAACUUACACUUUUUUGAAAGGGCAAAAUUUUGUAGCCAAAGCAAGUUAAGAUUGCUUCGGCACUUUAACACAGAAGUACCUAGUGACAUCCCUAUUCUCCUCCAGCUCUAAAAUAUAGGUGCUUCAAGCUGACAAACAACUGAUUAUUUUAAGGAGUUAGCUAAAGAACUAUCAUCAGCGUUGUGUGCUCUAUUCUCUGAAUACAGUUUGGCAUUAGUGGCUUAGCAUUAGCCGAUAAAGUAGCUGAAGCCUUCGGCCACAAGAGCUGACCAAGCAUAAACUUUUGGUAAAACUAAUGCUGCUAACAAAGAACUCACUGUGUGCAGCAGAUAUAAGUGGAAUGAAGAAGAUAAGGAUAAUUCCAAAAGAGUGAAGUAACUUCAGAAGGCGGCCAGCCCAGCAACAGUGAAACCCAGUGAGAAAUCAAGAGAAAUCACUGGCAAGAAUUAUGUGACUGGACUUGGGGAUGGGGCGAUUUGUGGAAUGGGUACAGUUGGGAGGCAUGAGUUGGGGUAGGGACCCCUCUCUGGAGGCACCCAGCUCCAGCUGUAACUGAAGAACUAUUAAGAGACAACUGGAAACCUUUGCUCUGACUUGGCAUUCUCAGCAGGAUCCUGCAGUCAGACCUUGUUUUGGUGCCGGCUGCAUGUAAAUGCGCAACAAUAAAAAUUUAGUAUUUACUGGA
Long non-coding RNA from Strigops habroptila (Kakapo), 3288 nucleotides. RefSeq lists it as uncharacterized. Lineage: Eukaryota; Metazoa; Chordata; Aves; Psittaciformes; Psittacidae. The transcript is spliced from 2 exons. The record is from RefSeq and is a predicted model, not a curated record.